AGUGGCGGACGGGUGAGUAACGCGUGAGUAACCUGCCUUUCAGAGGGGGAUAACGUUCUGAAAAGAACGCUAAUACCGCAUAACAUCAAUUUAUCGCAUGAUAGGUUGAUCAAAGGAGCAAUCCGCUGGAAGAUGGACUCGCGUCCGAUUAGCUAGUUGGCGGGGUAACGGCCCACCAAAGCGACGAUCGGUGGCCGGACUGAGAGGUUGAACGGCCACAUUGGGACUGAGACACGGCCCAGACUCCUACGGGAGGCAGCAGUGGGGGAUAUUGCACAAUGGGGGAAACCCUGAUGCAGCAACGCCGCGUGAGGGAAGAAGGUUUUCGGAUUGUAAACCUCUGUUCUUAGUGACGAUAAUGACGGUAGCUAAGGAGAAAGCUCCGGCUAACUACGUGCCAGCAGCCGCGGUAAUACGUAGGGAGCGAGCGUUGUCCGGAUUUACUGAGCGUAAAGCGCGCGUAGGCGGCCCGGCAGGCCGGGGGUCGAAGCGGGGGGCUCAACCCCCCGAAGCCCCCGGAACCUCCGCGGCUUGGGUCCGGUAGGGGAGGGUGGAACACCCGGUGUAGCGGUGGAAUGCGCAGAUAUCGGGUGGAACACCGGUGGCGAAGGCGGCCCUCUGGGCCGAGACCGACGCUGAGGCGCGAAAGCUGGGGGAGCGAACAGGAUUAGAUACCCUGGUAGUCCCAGCCGUAAACGAUGGACGCUAGGUGUGGGGGGACGAUCCCCCCGUGCCGCAGCCAACGCAUUAAGCGUCCCGCCUGGGGAGUACGGCCGCAAGGCUAAAACUCAAAGGAAUUGACGGGGGCCCGCACAAGCAGCGGAGCAUGUGGCUUAAUUCGAAGCAACGCGAAGAACCUUACCAGGGCUUGACAUAUGGGUGAAGCGGGGGAGACCCCGUGGCCGAGAGGAGCCCAUACAGGUGGUGCAUGGCUGUCGUCAGCUCGUGUCGUGAGAUGUUGGGUUAAGUCCCGCAACGAGCGCAACCCCCGCCGCGUGUUGCCAUCGGGUGAUGCCGGGAACCCACGCGGGACCGCCGCCGUCAAGGCGGAGGAGGGCGGGGACGACGUCAAGUCAUCAUGCCCCUUAUGCCCUGGGCUGCACACGUGCUACAAUGGCCGGUACAGAGGGAUGCCACCCCGCGAGGGGGAGCGGAUCCCGGAAAGCCGGCCCCAGUUCGGAUUGGGGGCUGCAACCCGCCCCCAUGAAGUCGGAGUUGCUAGUAAUCGCGGAUCAGCAUGCCGCGGUGAAUGCGUUCCCGGGCCUUGCACUCACCGCCCGUCA
Molecule: ribosomal RNA, 1283 nt
Filed under: uncultured bacterium
Lineage: Bacteria
Description: bacterial SSU rRNA
Rfam family: Bacterial small subunit ribosomal RNA
Source: RNAcentral